GUGCUCACUUGGGCAACACAUACACUAAAAUUGGAACUAUACAGGGAAGAUUAGCAUGGCCCCUGAGCAAGGAUGACAUGCAAAUACAUGAGACGUUCCAUAUUUUU
Suricata suricatta (meerkat) is the source of this 107-nucleotide small nuclear RNA. The record is from Ensembl. Lineage: Eukaryota; Metazoa; Chordata; Mammalia; Carnivora; Herpestidae.